GACGAACGCUGGCGGCGUGCUUAACACAUGCAAGUCGAACGCUGAAGCACCAGCUUGCUGGUGUGGAUGAGUGGCGAACGGGUGAGUAAUACGUGAGUAACCUGCCCUUGACUCUGGGAUAAGCUCGGGAAACUGGGUCUAAUACUGGAUGCUACAUGUCACCGCAUGGUGGUGUGUGGAAAGGGUUUACUGGUCUUGGAUGGGCUCACGGCCUAUCAGCUUGUUGGUGAGGUAAUGGCUCACCAAGGCGACGACGGGUAGCCGGCCUCAGAGGGUGACCGGCGACACUGAGACUGAGACACGGCCCAGACGCCGACGGGAGGCAGCAGUGGGGAAUAUUGAACAAUGGGCGAAAGCCUGAUGCAGCGACGCCGCGGGAGGGAUGACGGCCUUCGGGUUGUAAAACUCUUUCAGCAGGGAAGAAGCCACAAGUGACGGUACCUGCAGAAGAAGCGCCGGCUAACUACGUG
This 470-nucleotide ribosomal RNA is filed under the name uncultured bacterium. RNAcentral describes it as "partial 16S ribosomal RNA". It matches the Rfam family "Bacterial small subunit ribosomal RNA", at positions 28 to 507 of the family's 1533-position model. The record is from RNAcentral.